This is a long non-coding RNA of Oncorhynchus keta (chum salmon), 1014 nucleotides long. RefSeq lists it as uncharacterized. NCBI's taxonomy places the organism in Eukaryota, Metazoa, Chordata, Actinopteri, Salmoniformes, Salmonidae. The transcript is spliced from 2 exons. The record is from RefSeq and is a predicted model, not a curated record.
GUGAGCUAUAGCCAAUUAGAGUUAUAGUUGGCCUUGAUAAAAACAAGCCAUUUACCAAACGGACCUGCCAUCAUUCACUUUGAACUGGACUGUGUGUUUACAGGCAGUUGCAACAGCGUGACUUUAGAUCAUUAGAACGCAUUCGGAAAAAGCCACGUAAAUACACCAGAAUGGAUUUCUGAAAAUAUGUAAACACCAUGGGAGUCCUCUUACAUUUGGGAACUUUACUGUCCUAUUGAUCAAACAACCAUGAAAGUCCUUCCCAGUUUUGACCGUUCUGCCCGCACUGAGCCUGAGGAUGCCUGCCGGUUUGUACCUUACCGCACCGUUCUGGAUUAUUGACCCCUGCCUGCAUUGACCUGUCGUUUGCCUGCCCCUGUUGUUGUAAUAAACUCUUAUUACUUCGGCACUGUCUGCAUCUGGGUCUUAACUAAACAUGAUAGUUAGGGUUAUAGGGUUGAGGGUUGACCAGUGAUGUGGGCAUGAAGCUAGGGUUAGGGUUAGGGCUACGUUUAGGAUUACUGCUGUGAGUACAGUGUAACACAUUGAAUCAAUAAGUAAUUACAAUACUUGUUCAACUGUAAUUGCACAAGUAGCUAGACAGUAAUAAGGGAGUUGUAAUGUAAAGUGGUACUAUUUAAAGUUAGAUAAUUAUUUUUUUGUAUUUUUUUGUGAAAACGCAAUUCGUAACAAGAUGAAGACAGAAUUAAUUCUCUCUCAUUCACUGUGUGUGUAUGUAUGACCAUGAGUUACAAAAGUAACGAUACAAAGCCCUGUGCCUAAUGACUAUCCUCUAUCAGCUGUACUAUACUGACUCCUUGUGGAAACCUUUAUAACUGCAGUUUUGAUCAUACUUUAUGUAUUUUUUCCCAUGGUGCCAGCUUGAGAAAUGUGCUUUGCAUAAUAAUUGGGUGCUAUGUGACUCUACAAAAAAGAGCAGUGAUCAAAUCAAUUUUCACUAAAUGUCAAUAAUGUGGUCAUCAAAAUUUCCAAUAAAUAAUUUGAAAACCUGAA